GACACACAUAAACAAUUAAUAUUCUCUCUCUCGCUCUCUUUCUCUCUCACACAAAUAAAAGGUUGUCCUCCUGUCUCUGCUGGCCACUUGACUGAAAUGUGGUAGGACUUCAGCUCCUCGUCUGACACAAAGUCUGGGGCGCGACUCAUCAGGUCAUGACCGCGAAAUGACUUUGGGAAGGCGAUGACAUCACGUAUGCUGGAAGCCCCCACCAUGAUGGAAACCAGCCGGUCCAAACCUUAAAAAAAUAAUAA
Long non-coding RNA from Hippocampus zosterae (dwarf seahorse), 254 nucleotides. RefSeq lists it as uncharacterized. The record is from RefSeq and is a predicted model, not a curated record. The transcript is spliced from 2 exons. NCBI's taxonomy places the organism in Eukaryota, Metazoa, Chordata, Actinopteri, Syngnathiformes, Syngnathidae.